AACGAACGCUGGCGGCAUGCCUAACACAUGCAAGUCGAACGAGAUCUUCGGGUCUAGUGGCGCACGGGUGCGUAACGCGUGGGAAUCUGCCCUUUGGUUCGGAAUAACAGUUGGAAACGACUGCUAAUACCGGAUGAUGACGAAAGUCCUAAGAUUUAUCGCCAGAGGAUGAGCCCGCGUAGGAUUAGCUAGUUGGUGUGGUAAAGGCGCACCAAGGCGACGAUCCUUAGCUGGUCUGAGAGGAUGAUCAGCCACACUGGCACUGAGACACGGCCCUGACUCCUACGGGGGGCAGCGGUGGGGAAUAUUGGAAAAGGGGCGAAAGCCUGAUCAAGAAAUGCCGGGUAAGUGAUGAAGGCCUUAGGGUUGUAAAGCUCUUUUACCCGGGAUGAUAAUGACAGUACCGGGAGAAUAAGCUCCGGCUAACUCCGUGCCAGCCGCCGCCGUAA
RNAcentral lists this ribosomal RNA (449 nucleotides) under uncultured bacterium. RNAcentral describes it as "partial 16S ribosomal RNA". It matches the Rfam family "Bacterial small subunit ribosomal RNA", at positions 29 to 523 of the family's 1533-position model. The record is from RNAcentral.